RNAcentral lists this ribosomal RNA (577 nucleotides) under uncultured bacterium. RNAcentral describes it as "bacterial SSU rRNA". It matches the Rfam family "Bacterial small subunit ribosomal RNA", at positions 49 to 670 of the family's 1533-position model. The record is from RNAcentral.
UUACACAUGCAAGUCGAGCGCACGUAGCAAUACGUGAGCGGCAGACGGGAGAGUAACACGUGGGAACGUACCCUUCGGUUCGGAAUAACUCAGGGAAACUUGAGCUAAUACCGGAUACGUCCGAAAGGAGAAAGAUUCAUCGCCGAGGGAUCGGCCCGCGCCCGAUUAGCUUGUUGGUGGGGUGAUGGCCCACCAAGGCGACGAUCGGUAGCUGGUCUGAGAGGAUGAUCAGCCUCACUGGGACUGAGACACGGCCCAGACUCCUACGGGAGGCAGCAGUGGGGAAUAUUGGACAAUGGGCGCAAGCCUGAUCCAGCCAUGCCGCGUGGGUGAUGAAGGCCUUAGGGUUGUAAAGCCCUUUCGGCGGGGAAGAUAAUGACGGUACCCGCAGAAGAAGCCCCGGCUAACUUCGUGCCAGCAGCCGCGGUAAUACGAAGGGGGCUAGCGUUGCUCGGAAUCACUGGGCGUAAAGCGCACGUAGGCGGAUCUUUAAGUCAGGGGUGAAAUCCUGGAGCUCAACUCCAGAACUGCCUUUGAUACUGGAGAUCUCGAGUUCGGGAGAGGUGAGUGGAACUGC